UGUGCUCCUCCGUUGGGAUAAAUAGUGAAUUCCAGGACAUCUAGGAUAAACUUACAAAGCGUGGUGGUACAUGCCAUUAUCCCAGCACUGGGGAGGCAAAGGAAGAUGGAUCUGAGUUCAGGACCAGUCUGCUAUACAUAGUGAACUCCAGGACAGCCAGGACUAAAUAGUGAGACCCUUUCUCCAAAAGGAAAGAGGGUGAGGCUGAACAGAUGCCUAAGCGUGCAUGCUGGUCUGCAGAGGGCUGGCGUUCAGUUCCCAGCGCCUGUGUUGGGUGACUCACAACCACCUGUAACUUCAACUCCAAGGGAUUCCACAUCUUCCUUUGGCUUCCAUGGGCAUCGAGAAACAAAUGGUAUACACGUUCAUACACAUAAAUAAUUUUUUUAUUUCAAAAAGGUCAUUCCAUAAUCAUUUAUAUCCAGUCUAGACCAUCACAUAUAAACCACUUAGCCAAUAUCACAGAUCUUUGGGAUGGUAUAUAUCUUAGCAUCCAAAUCACAUAUAAACCACUUAAAAACAACUUGACUCCUGCUCACAGUGACUGGGGAGUGGUCGCUCUAAGUGUGGUCGGCACAGCUGCUCACACCAACUGUCCUCUGGAGUUCAGGGUCAUUGUCCACAUCGAUUUGUGCCCUUGGGCUUGCUUUCUGUUCUUAGAGCUGAUGAGUUCUCAUUGAACCCACAGUGCUGUUUGGAGAGAGAGGUACUGGGUGGUCCCAGAACCCCCAAGGCAGCUGCGGUGGAGGGGUCCUGGUGGGCCCCCAUGUUGCUAUCCUCGUCUGCCUCUUGUUGCAGGGCCCCGUGAAGCACGUGUACAGGGUCCUGCAGUGUCAAGAGGAAGAGCUCACUCAGAUGGUCUCCACCAUGUCUGACGGCUGGAAAUUCGAACAGCUGAUCAGCAUUGGCUCCUCCUAUAACUAUGGAAAUGAAGACCAGGCAGAAUUCCUCUGUGUUGUCUCCAGAGAACUAAAUAAUUCUACCAACGGCAUCGUCAUAGAGCCAAGCGAAAAGGCCAAGAUUCUUCAGGAGAGAGGCUCACGGAUGUAAACGGAGGAUCUGAAGUUCCAGAACCCUGAAGGCAAGAGAGCGAUCGACUGAGCAGCUGUGAAGGGAAUCCUGCACCUGUACAGUAACUGAGCUACUGCAGAGCCAAGCUGCAAAGCCUGGUCCCAGAGAAGUGGUGUCCGCUGAGACCAGAGGAGCCCACCCGCCUCGGACCGAGACGACAGUCCGCCUCUGGCUGCACGGCCCCUUUUCAGAAUCCUACUUUUGUUUUCUAGCCAGUGUUAUGACAGACCUUCACAACAGCAUCUAGGAUGGGUCCCUGGCUGGAGCCUUGUGGGGAGCUGGGGGGAAAGGAGGAAGGCCUAGCUCUCUGAAAACAGUCCAAGGAAGCUAGAACAGAGGAAGGAGGCUUGUCCUGAGCUGUGCCCUGAUCUCAGCCUGCGUGCGCCGGGAUGGAUGCUGGCAGCUGCCAUGACCAUUCUUCCCUGACUGAGGCAUUCUUUGAAGUUGCUGGGAUGCAGGGGAUUCCAGCCUUAGCGUGCUGAGUCGAGGUUUGGGGUACAGAAUGGAGUUGCCAGAGGACCCGCAAUCCUAUGAACAGAGCCCCAGAGGCAGGAGGAUGAGGUGUCCUGUGCUGUGCUUGGAGGGACUGGUUGCUGUUCCUGGUUCUGAGCACUGGCCUGUCCCUGCGAGUAGCUUCACCUGGUGUCUGUCCCCAGUGGGGCCCGCAUGGCCCAGCCUCAGGCAGGAGCUUAGAGGCUGUAGCAUCCUGAGCAGCGCUGGGCGGACGAUGGCCUAAGCGGUUGCCGUAACCGUAUCUGCAUUCUUACCUGGUUGGCCCCGUCUUCCUCCCCCAGCUUCUUGAACUGGACCAAAGAAAAAGGACUUUGUGGACCCUCUGUAUGGCUUGGGGUGAGGAAGGCUGUUUCUGUGGAAGCUGCCAAAUGUGUCAUGUUGUCAUAGCUAAACGUGGUGGUGUUUUUGUGAUUGUCUAUUGAACAUGCACUGACUGAUCGGA
Molecule: non-coding RNA, 2026 nt
Organism: Peromyscus maniculatus bairdii (prairie deer mouse)
Lineage: Eukaryota; Metazoa; Chordata; Mammalia; Rodentia; Cricetidae
Source: RefSeq, a predicted model, not a curated record